GGCGUAAAGCGUCUGCAGACGUCUCAUUAAGUCUGGUGUAAAAGCACGGAGCUCAACUCCGUGUACGUGCCGGAAACUGAUGAGAUUGAGUCACUGAGAGGUAUCUGGAAUGUCGUGUGUAGGGGUAAAAUCCGUAGAUCCACGAUGGAAUGCCGAAAGCGAAAGCAGGAUACUGGCAGUGUACUGACGUUCAGAGACGAAAGCGUGGGGAGCAAAGGGGAUUAGAUACCCCCGUAGUCCACGCCCUAAACGAUGCGAACUCGGUGUAGGAAUCUCUCAAUAGAUCCUGUGCCUUAGCUAACGCGUUAAGUUCGCCGCCUGGGAAGUACGGCCGCAAGGCUAAAACUCAAAGGAAUAGACGGGGACCCACACAAGCGGUGGAGCAUGGGGUUUAAUUCGAUGAUAAACGAAGGACCUCACCCAGGCUUGACAUCUAGGGAAUCCGGCCGAAAGGUCGGAGUGCCGCAAGGAACCCUAAGACAGGUGAUGCACGGUCGUCGUCAGCUCGUGCCUUGAGGUGUACUGUUAAGUCAGCGAACGAGCGCAACCCUCAUCUUAUGUUGUUAUUUCAUAAGAGACUGCCGCCUCCAAGGCGGAGGAAGGUAGGGAUGACGUCAGAUCAGCGUGUCCUUUAUGCCUGGGGCAACACCCAUGCUACAAUGGCCGAUACAGAGGGCAGCGAAACCGCGAGGUGUAGCUAAUCCCACAAAGUCGGUCUCAGUUCGGAUUGAAGUCUGCAACUCGACUUCAUGAAGUUGGAAUCGCUAGUAACCGUGAGUCAGCCAUAUCACGGUGAAUAAGUUCCUGGGCCUUGUACACACCGCCC
This 826-nucleotide ribosomal RNA is filed under the name uncultured bacterium. RNAcentral's name for it is "bacterial SSU rRNA". It matches the Rfam family "Bacterial small subunit ribosomal RNA", at positions 557 to 1395 of the family's 1533-position model. The record is from RNAcentral.